This 509-nucleotide long non-coding RNA is filed under the name Rattus norvegicus (Norway rat). Its description in RNAcentral is "long non-coding RNA NONRATT008965". Lineage: Eukaryota; Metazoa; Chordata; Mammalia; Rodentia; Muridae. The record is from RNAcentral.
GUCUGUGAGCAGUGGGGACUUGCGUCCAAUGGGGAUUGCCUUGGGAGGGCACCGUGGCACUGGCGAGCUAGGGGCUGCACUGAGCCGCCUGGCACUCCGGCCUGAGCCACCCACUUUGAGACGUAGUACUUCUCUCCGGCGUCUUGGGGGUUUCCCUGGACCCCCUACCCUGCUCAGCAUACGGACAGAGCCCCCUCCUUCCCAUGGCUCCUUCCACAUGAUAUCUGCCCGGCCUUCUGAGCCUUUCUACUCUGAUGACAAGAUGGUGAGCUGCAGUGCUUCCUGAACGCCGUGUUACAGUGUUUGAGCAGCACAAGGCCUCUUCGAGACUUUUGUCUGCGAAGGGACUUCCGGCAAGAGGUGCCCGGAGGAGGCCGAGCCCAGGAACUCACAGAAGCCUUUGCAGAUGUGAUUGGUGCCCUCUGGCACCCUGACUCCUGUGAAGCUGUGAAUCCUACCCGAUUCCGGGCUGUCUUCCAGAAAUACGUCCCUUCCUUCUCUGGAUACAG